CCAAAUCCCUCUUUUUUAUGUCAUUGCUUAAUUUAGUUUGUGAAUCUGAAAAUUAGUGCAGGCCAUUAUUUUUAUUUUAUUCCAUAUUUUCUCUUUUGAAUAUGAUGCACAUUCUUCUGUUCAUUAAUUUCCUGUUGUAAGAAUUUACAUCUAGUGUUAGUAUCUAAGGCUUGAUCUUGGAAUCUAGAAUGGUUUUGGAAGGUUUGGAUUUCAUUUCCAAAAUUCAUUUUCUUAAUGAGAACUUCCAUUUCGGAACAACUAAGGCCAAAUUUCUGAAAAUUUUGGGUUGUUAAAAUUAACCGAUGAUUCCAUAUUGUUAUUAUGAUAAUUGCUCUCAUUGACCAUAAUUUGAGGUGUAACUUCCACUCUAUUGAUGUUUCUUCCAAAAUUCAUUUUCUUAAAUGAGAACUUCCAUUUCGGAACAACUAAGGCCAAAUUUCUGAAAAUUUUGGGUCGUUAAAAUUAACCGAUGAUUCCAUAUGCAGCCUAAAGAUAUUGUUAUUAUGAUAAUUGCUCUCAUUGACCAUAAUUUGAGGUGUAACUUCCACUCUAUUGAUGUUUCUUCCAGUACACAUUGUGGCCAAAGGUUUGAAGCUAAUUUUCAACUGUGUUUUAAUGGAGUUUGCAGUCAUGGUUAUGUUUUUGGAGAGCAGCCGUUAAUUCUAUUGGAAUAGUAUCAGCUAAAGUCCUUUUCUUUUUGAUAAAUUCUAGUAAAAGUCAUUUCUGUAAUCACGUUGUUUAUGCACUUUCGUAUGUCACAUAAGCACUAGAUGUUUGUGUCAUUUUGGUUCCAUAAGUUCCUUUGUGUAUGUUCUUCUACUGCUUGGGGUAUCCAUUUGGUAACAUGUCUAUGUUCAGAGUUGAAGAUGAAGGUAUACUGUUGCCAAACAUUCCUACACGUAAAGCGACCUCCAGUUGCUAUCAAAACUGUUUUCUAUUCAUGAUUUAAAUAUUAAUUGGAUAAAUUCAUAUCAAUAUUGUUCUGUCUUCUGUAUAUUUGAUGAUUGGAACAAUUUUGGCUUGAUGUCAUAGGAUUGUAGCUCGGUCGGCAUAUUGAUGUCUAGUUGUUUUUUGAUAUUUUAUUCUAGAUAGGCUUCUUAAAAUAGUUUUGAGUUCAUGAUACAAAAAGUACUAUAGAGGGUUUUAUGAAAAACUUGUUGUGGCUCUUGUAUAUUUGCUCAAUGCAAUAAUUUGGAGCAAGUCUUCUUGGAUUGUGUUUGGAUUCAAGCUGUUUGAAUCGUCCUCAAAUAUUUUUCUGGAGCGCUGUAUAAGGGGCUGGGGAUUGUUUGCAAUUGAAUAAUUGAUGUAAACAUAUGAUAUGCCUUUGCCACGAGUUUCUCGUGUUUUUCCUUUGCACAAUGCAAUCCCAAAAAGGGUUAGAUAUUUCUGGAACAGUAAGUCCACAGUCUAGUAGAACUCUUAUGUUAUUUAUGUGCUGCACAGUUCCAUUUAAGCAUCUGGAAUUAAAUUUAUGCAUAUUUUCAGAAUGCCCCAUCAGAGAGAACUUACCUAAUUACCCUUAUAUGAAGCAACCAAGAUGUCUCUUGGUGCCGUGCCCUUUUUUGCCCUUUAAUUUGCAAAAUGACCUUCGAUUAACAACUAUUAGAAUACUCAUUGAUGGGAAUAACCCUACAAUGGUAAAUUACGAAACUUUCUCGAGGAAAUGAAAAUAUGAGAAUGUCUUUCAUGCGUUGGAUGUUAAAAUUUCAUCAUGAUAAUUUGUUGGAUAUUUCUUGUCUAUUUUUCCUCUAUUAGGGCCAGAGUGAAAAUUCACUCUUGUUUUUAGCCUUCAGUAAUCAUUGAUAGGAUGACAAUUUUGUCUUGGAACAUGUUGGACUAUCAUUUUAUCAUGCAAGGAUUUGUUUCUGCUGUUUCUUGGUGGCAGCCACUUAUCUCUUGAGAUGAUGUUGAUGUUAUUGGAGUUAUAGUAACUGAGCACAUAUUUUAGUAUGUCCUAUAAGGGGUGCUUAUAGAGUUAUAGGAUCAUAGAGAAUCCCCUAAUGGGAUUUGUUGAGCUCUCAAUUGUUGUGCUGGGACUUCUGCUUUUCUUUUAUGCCUUCUUUUUCUUUUUUCUUGGGUUUCUUGAUGUGGAUAUUGAUGCUUUGUACGCUAUAGUUAUUGUGCACUUAUUUCAGAACUAGAAGGGACCAGCUAGAUGUUCAUUGGGAUUGGUGACUGUUAUGAAGAUCUUAGUAGUAACUGAUUCUAGUUACAUAGCUCAUGAAGAUGUCAAGAUUCUGAUUGCUUGACAUCUUUUUAGCAAUUUGCUGAGCCUAGUUUGAAGCAAUGACAUGCAAGAGUUGUCCGAUAUUUGGCUUCAUCUGGAGAAUUUAAACUCUAUAUGUAUGCCAUCUGAGGUCUCACAGAUCAUUUUAUUAGAUAUGAGCCAUGGUCAGCUUUGAUGCAUAGAAGUACUAAAUUCAAGUGCAAAAUAUUUUCCUUUCAAGUAGGGGAAUUUUAAAGGGCAAGAUCUAGCAUUCUAGACCACCUUGUUAUGUGUUAUAUAGCCUGUGUUUCAUAUGCACCUACAUGAAUCUCAUGUGUGCACGUAUAUUUGUGCCAUGACUUUCUAAACUCAUAUAAGUAGCUGUAAAAGCGGUAUGCUUUUAGCUAUAAACCUUUCUAAUCAAAGAUAGGUCCUAUGGAUUCAUUUUCUAAACUCA
RNAcentral lists this long non-coding RNA (2663 nucleotides) under Amborella trichopoda. Its description in RNAcentral is "long non-coding RNA (ATRI_LNC002023)". The record is from RNAcentral. Lineage: Eukaryota; Viridiplantae; Streptophyta; Magnoliopsida; Amborellales; Amborellaceae.